Molecule: ribosomal RNA, 509 nt
Filed under: uncultured bacterium
Lineage: Bacteria
Description: partial 16S ribosomal RNA
Rfam family: Bacterial small subunit ribosomal RNA (bases 20-332)
Source: RNAcentral
GACGAACGCUGGCGGCGUGCUUAACACAUGCAAGUCGAACGGAAAGGCCCUGCUUUUGUGGGGUGCUCGAGUGGCGAACGGGUGAGUAACACGUGAGUAACCUGCCCUUGACUUUGGGAUAACUUCAGGAAACUGGGGCUAAUACCGGAUAGGAGCUCCUGCUGCAUGGUGGGGGUUGGAAAGUUUCGGCGGUUGGGGAUGGACUCGCGGCUUAUCAGCUUGUUGGUGGGGUAGUGGCUUACCAAGGCUUUGACGGGUAGCCGGCCUGAGAGGGUGACCGGCAAGGCGGCGGUGGCGUGGCGGCGCACGCGCGGGGGGGCGGGGGAAGUGGGGAAUAGGGCGGGGCGGGCGCAGGGCGGGGGCGGCGGGGGGGCGGGCGGGAUGGCGGCGUGCGGGCUGAGAACCGCGGCGGCGGGGGGCGAAGAGGGAGGGAAGGAAAGGAUAAAAAAAGCGCCGGCUAACUACGGGGCGGCAGGGGUGGUAAGAGGGGGAGGGGGACCUGCCUGCCC